GCUCCCGUAGCUCAGUGGCUGAGCGCCCGCGUCACAUGCGGUGGACGCUGGUUCAAUUCCAGCCGGGAGUACCA
Molecule: transfer RNA, 74 nt
Filed under: uncultured bacterium
Lineage: Bacteria
Description: tRNA-Val
Rfam family: tRNA
About the family: Transfer RNA (tRNA) molecules are approximately 80 nucleotides in length.
Source: RNAcentral